This 756-nucleotide ribosomal RNA is filed under the name uncultured archaeon. RNAcentral describes it as "bacterial SSU rRNA". It matches the Rfam family "Archaeal small subunit ribosomal RNA", at positions 102 to 859 of the family's 1478-position model. The record is from RNAcentral.
GGACAACCUACCCUUGAGACAGGUAUAAACCCGGGAAACUGGGUAUAAUCCCUGAUAGAUCUCGGUCGCUGGAAUGCUCCGAGAUCCAAAGCUCCGGCGCUCAAGGAUGGGUCUGCGGCCUAUCAGGUAGUAGUGGGUGUAGCGUACCUACUAGCCUACGACGGGUACGGGUUGUGAGAGCAAGAGCCCGGAGAUGGAUUCUGAGACACGAAUCCAGGCCCUACGGGGUGCAGCAGGCGCGAAAACUUUACAAUGCCGGCAACGGCGAUAAGGGAACCUCGAGUGCCAGGUUACAAAUCUGGCUGUCGUGAUGCCUAAAAAGCAUUGCAUAGCAAGGGCCGGGCAAGACCGGUGCCAGCCGCCGCGGUAACACCGGCGGCUCGAGUGGUAACCGUUAUUAUUGGGUCUAAAGGGUCUGUAGCCGGCCGGAUAAGUCUCUUGGGAAAUCCAGCAGCUCAACUGUUGGGCUUUCAGGAGAUACUGUUCGGCUCGAGGCCGGGAGAGGUGAGAGGUACUUCAGGGGUAGGGGUGAAAUCUUGUAAUCCUUGAAGGACCACCAGUGGCGAAGGCGUCUCACCAGAACGGACCUGACGGCAAGGGACGAAAGCUAGGGGCACGAACCGGAUUAGAUACCCGGGUAGUCCUAGCCGUAAACGAUACUCGCUAGGUGUCGGCCACGGUGCGACCGUUGUCGGUGCCGUAGGGAAGCCGUGAAGCGAGCCACCUGGGAAGUACGGCCGCAAGGCUGAAACUUAA